Molecule: ribosomal RNA, 454 nt
Filed under: uncultured Paludibacter sp.
Lineage: Bacteria; Pseudomonadati; Bacteroidota; Bacteroidia; Bacteroidales; Paludibacteraceae
Description: partial 16S ribosomal RNA
Rfam family: Bacterial small subunit ribosomal RNA
Source: RNAcentral
ACGGAAGGCAGCAGUGAGGAAUAUUGGUCAAUGGGCGGAAGCCUGAACCAGCCAAGUCGCGUGAAGGAUGAAGGUAUUAUGUAUUGUAAACUUCUUUAGACGUAGAGAAAUAAGAGGCUCGUGAGCCUUGAUGCUAGUAUACGUAGAAUAAGGAUCGGCUAACUCCGUGCCAGCAGCCGCGGUAAUACGGAGGAUCCGAGCGUUAUCCGGAUUUAUUGGGUUUAAAGGGUGCGUAGGCGGGCUGUUAAGUCAGCGGUGAAAGUUUGCGGCUCAACCGUAAAAUUGCCGUUGAAACUGGCGGUCUUGAGUGUAAACGAGGUAGGCGGAAUGUGACGUGUAGCGGUGAAAUGCUUAGAUAUGUCACAGAACUCCGAUUGCGAAGGCAGCUUACCAGGAUACAACUGACGCUGAGGCACGAAAGCGUGGGUAUCAAACAGGAUUAGAUACCCUGGUA